GAUGAACGCUGGCGGCGUGCCUAAUACAUGCAAGUCGAGCGAACAGACGAGGAGCUUGCUCCUCUGACGUUAGCGGCGGACGGGUGAGUAACACGUGGAUAACCUACCUAUAAGACUGGGAUAACUUCGGGAAACCGGAGCUAAUACCGGAUAAUAUAUUGAACCGCAUGGUUCAAUAGUUAAAGACGGUUUUGCUGUCACUUAUAGAUGGAUCCGCGCCGCAUUAGCUAGUUGGUAAGGUAACGGCUUACCAAGGCAACGAUGCGUAGCCGACCUGAGAGGGUGAUCGGCCACACUGGAACUGAGACACGGUCCAGACUCCUACGGGAGGCAGCAGUAGGGAAUCUUCCGCAAUGGGCGAAAACCUGACGGAGCAACGCCGCGUGAGUGAUGAAGGUCUUCGGAUCGUAAAACUCUGUUAUUAGGGAAGAACAAAUGUGUAAGUAACUAUGCACGUCUUGACGGUACCUAAUCAGAAAGCCACGGCUAACUACGUG
This 497-nucleotide ribosomal RNA is filed under the name uncultured bacterium. RNAcentral's name for it is "partial 16S ribosomal RNA". It matches the Rfam family "Bacterial small subunit ribosomal RNA", at positions 28 to 507 of the family's 1533-position model. The record is from RNAcentral.